AUUGAACGCUGGCGGCAUGCUUUACACAUGCAAGUCGAACGGUAACAGGCCUUCGGGUGCUGACGAGUGGCGAACGGGUGAGUAAUGCAUCGGAACGUGCCCAGAGGUGGGGGAUAACGCAGCGAAAGCUGUGCUAAUACCGCAUGUGAUCUGAGGAUGAAAGCGGGGGACCAAGCAGCAAUGUUUGGCCUCGCGCCUCUGGAGCGGCCGAUGUCAGAUUAGGUAGUUGGUGGGGUAAAGGCCUACCAAGCCGACGAUCUGUAGCUGGUCUGAGAGGACGACCAGCCACACUGGGACUGAGACACGGCCCAGACUCCUACGGGAGGCAGCAGUGGGGAAUUUUGGACAAUGGGCGCAAGCCUGAUCCAGCAAUGCCGCGUGCGGGAAGAAGGCCUUCGGGUUGUAAACCGCUUUUGUGCGGAACGAAAAGGCUCUGGCUAAUACCUGGGGCUGAUGACGGUACCGUAAGAAUAAGCACCGGCUAACUACGUG
Molecule: ribosomal RNA, 492 nt
Filed under: uncultured bacterium
Lineage: Bacteria
Description: bacterial SSU rRNA
Rfam family: Bacterial small subunit ribosomal RNA
Source: RNAcentral